UUUUUUUUUUUUUUUUUGGGCUGUUGGAGGGCAGUGGAGCUCUCGAGAAGAACUCAGUCAUUGAAGUCCAUGUCAUUUCCACUGUAAGGCUAACGAUCUUGAGAGUGUCAGAUGACCAACAGGCUGGGCAGUUGGCAGGAUAGGGGAAGGUCUUCCCUGGCUUAGCCCUGUGCCAGGAGCCCUGCCCGGGCUGCUAACAUGCACAGCACCUGUUUUCUCUUGUCCCUCCCACCCCCUUGGUUUAAUUCUUCCUGCCUUGGUGCUUCACCUGGACUGUUUAGAUUUUUGUUUUUGUUUUGCCCUAAUCAAAAGGUGAAAAAAAAUCCCCUCUGUGCUAUUUAUAUUUAGCAAGCAAAUUAUCACUAAUUUUUAAGUAUAGACCACCCUCUGGGUUCCAUCAAAUUUGGUUCACCUCUACUGCGCUUAGGGUCAUAUGAAUAACAUGUAAGGAGGUGAAAUGUAGUUCAGAACUUACUGAAAACCUACCUAAAAACUGGAAUUGGGCAAAUCACCCUUUUCAUGUGCAGAGUGUAUGCUUGCCACAGCGGCCCUCAACUUUUAUUUUCCUGUGCUUAAAAAAAAAAAUCUAAAUCUGUUAUCAACGACAUAAAAUUUUGAAAAAGGAUUGAUUUUUACCAAUACAAUUAGGACACAUUAGUUGUCACAUAGUAUCUAAAUACAAUUAGGACACAUCAGUUGUCACAUAGUAUCCAAAGCUAUUUUUGAGUCUAGGGCUUCUCUGUUUCAACUUUACAGUGAGACAGGACAAAAAGUAAAUAAGCCUUCCAAUAUAUCAGACAAGAGGUCUGGUCAUGUAGCUCAGUAGGAGAGAACUUGCCUACCAUGCACAAGGUCCUGGGUUCAACCCCCAGUACCACAGAAACAACAACAGAAAAGAGUGGUGGGUAUUUAGAGGGCAGAUCCCUGAAGCCCCUCUUGUUGACACAAUGCUGGUUACUCCUUGGGAAAAGUUAGCCCUUCUUCCUUAUCCUCUGGACUUGCUUCCUCAUCUACCCGAGACCUCCUCACAUCUACUGUGAGGCCUUAUCCUCAUGGGUGUCCCUUAAUUUAGAAGACUUCUUAUCUGAAGUGAGACUAAUCUCUGCUUAGAAACACAGUUGAGAUCAAGAGUUUAUGUCCCUAGAAACUCCGUUCCUGAGAAACGUGGUAGCGACUAAAACUGUUUUAGUCAUCGUGACUCAAAUGCCUAUAACAAGUGCGAGCCAGCAGGGCUCGGCCGCUUUCAAUAUUUAAAUCAAAUAUGCCCGUUAAAUACAUGGAAAUUAUUGACACUUGGACCCUGAGACUACUUACUCUCUGCUUACAGCUAGCAAGCCGCUUUUAUUUCCUGGAGGACUUAAGUAAUCACUUUGCUCCGCUUUGACCCCUGCCUGCAGUGUCAUCCAAGUGUCAGGAUGGUGACGCUUAAUGUGUGGCUGAGUCUGACCUACAGUGCACUUAUUC
This 1464-nucleotide long non-coding RNA is filed under the name Rattus norvegicus (Norway rat). RNAcentral describes it as "long non-coding RNA NONRATT025257". Lineage: Eukaryota; Metazoa; Chordata; Mammalia; Rodentia; Muridae. The record is from RNAcentral.